Molecule: ribosomal RNA, 939 nt
Filed under: Triticum aestivum (bread wheat)
Lineage: Eukaryota; Viridiplantae; Streptophyta; Magnoliopsida; Poales; Poaceae
Description: partial small subunit ribosomal RNA
Source: RNAcentral
AUGUCCGCCGUUGACUCUUGGCAGUUCCGUGCCAAGCUUGCCCGCCAAUUUAUGAAGGGUUGGGGCGCGAACCUUGGCCGAGACCUCCGUGACCGCAAGAAAGCCCUCCUGAGUGCCAUCCAAGUCCUGGACGCCCAUGCUGACACCUCUGGGAUCUCUCCGGACGAGUGGAUGCUGAGAUAUGAUCUUGAGGAUCAGCUCUCGGUCAUCUACUUGGACGAGGAGGCAUAUUGGCGGCCGCGCGGCACCCAACGGUGGGUGCUCCGUGGUGACGCUAACAAGGCUUACUUCCAGGCGAUCGCCAAUGGGCGGCGACGACGGAACUCCAUCCACUCCUUGUGGGACGGCGAUACCCAGCUUGUUCGCCCCUCGGACAUCCGAGCCCACGUAGAUGGCUUCUAUAAAGUCCUUUUCUCCCCCACCCCUCGGGGUAGGGCUGCGCUGGCCCCCGAUACGUGGUCGGGUGGCCAGCUAGUUUCCGACGAGGCCAAUGCCGCCUUGGUGGCACCUUUCUCGGAGGACGAGGUCCUUGCGGCGAUCAAAGGAAUGAACCCCUCCUCGGCUCCGGGCCCGGAUGGAUUGCCAGUCACAUUUUUCAAAACUUUCUGGCAAACCAUCAAACCGAAAGUCAUGGCCCUCUUCGACGAAUUCUUCUCAGGGACCAUGGACCUUGGGCGCCUUAACUAUGGGGUCAUUACCCUCAUUCCCAAAGUCCCCGGGGCCUCGGACAUUCGCCAAUUCCGCCCGAUCACGAUGAUCAACGUGAUCUUCAGGAUCCUGGCUAAAGGGUACGCCAAUAGGGUGACCCUUCUAGCGGACUCUGUCACCCACCCUAACCAAUCCGCCUUCAUCAAGGCCGGUUUAUUUUGGAUGGGGUGUUGGUCUUCCACGAAGUCCUUCAUGAAGUCUGAACCAAGCACCAUCGUGCGGUCUUCCUAA